GCCCGCCUAGCUCAAUCGGAUAGAGCGUCAGACUCUUACCACUAGGCGAUAUAUAUAUAUAUAUAUAAUCUGAAGGCUGCGAGUUCGACCCUCGCGGUGGGCU
This is a non-coding RNA of Gyrodon lividus, 103 nucleotides long. The record is from the annotation of a GenBank genome assembly. Lineage: Eukaryota; Fungi; Basidiomycota; Agaricomycetes; Boletales; Gyrodontaceae.